AUCUUGAUGUGGGAAGCCAUCUCUUGCUGUUAGCUUUCAGCAGCUCUUGUGUCUGCGGUUGCAGUUGGCCUUCUAGAAGUGCUUCCAUGUGAAAGCUUUAUCUGGAUGAAGGGAGGGACAGACCAGUUGUAGUGCCAGGACUUCAUGAAACCUUGUGUUUCUGGGCAAAACCCCACUGUCUGUGCGCAAAUGCAGGAGGAGAUAGAAAAGGAAAGGUGCAGUCCAGAGGCAGCAGAUUCACAGCCUGUGUGUUUUGGACUCCCCGUGUGCAGUGCUCAAGGAAUAUAGCUCUGUAUUUCCUUUCGGGAUUUCUCAAACAUUCUUCUUAUCUGUCACGUAUGGGAGCAACCAAAUCAGUUCAAAAUCCUGAACAGAAGCAGGAAUGACAACAUUACUGGAAAAACUGUUUUUAGCUGAUUGGGAACUGUUUGGUGCUGUUUGCUCCCUGCCUGUCAAAACACAAAUCACUACGAGUCAAGCAGAGUCUUCAUUUGCAUUCAUGCUUUGCUGUGGCUCUCAGCUACUUUCCUGGGUGGAAAAGGAAGCAGGAUAUACUCCAGAGGCUACAGAUCUGCAAGAAUACUAGAAUAUCUUGUCUGACUUUUGUUUAGUAAUAGGUGCCUCAGGCACCCGAGGUUUGGGAAGAGAUGAAAGCCUCCAGGAAUAUAUUCAGAGUGCUGAUGGCCUGGGCUGUCACUGGGUGUUAGGCAUAUGAGCUUUGGACCUAUGAGACCUGCACCCACUUCCUCAAGGGAGACCAGACCAAGUCUGAAUGUUUUCAGGGGAAGUUAAGGUCAAGCAGGAUUAUCUAAAAUGUUCAAGCAAACAAGGCAGAUGAGUCCCACUGAAUUAGAAUAAAACUGUAGAUGUUAACGUAGGAACUUUCACAAAGAAAAUCUCUAGGAGGAAUAUCUCAAAUACUGUAUGGGGAAACACAGUCAGCUUUUUGUGGUGUGGUGUGGUAUGGUGAGCUUCCUCUGUGCCUGGCAAUAUUCCUUUUCUAGCUCAGAAUUUACUUUCUUGCUGUUUUCAUAAAAAGUGGUGUAUUUUAGCCCGCUCUUGCUCUGCCUGAAGUCAUGCUCAAUCCACAUCAGCUGGUGUAUAGCUUCAGAAAGCUUGCCUGUUCUUUUCCUUAAUUUCAUAGCUGGCUUGGUAACGAUACUGUAAUUCUCUAGAAAAUUUGUUUUGCUUACACACUGGUAUGCAAGCAUUUUCCUUAUCAGUUUUAUCUUUUUCUUUCAAAUCACUUAAUGCAGCCUGAGAUCCUUCAGACCAUACUCUGGAGGUGCAGCACACUUCCUGGGGAGGGAGGGACCCUGAAGCUGAUGGGGAGAAAAAUACAGCCCCAAAACUGCUUCUUGGGGUGGACAAGGAACCCCUGAUCAGCAAGGAACGCUACAACAUAGAGCAAGAGAGAGUUUUUAUCAUUCCUGACACAAACAUUCUUUUGAAACAGUUCCUGUAGCCACGGGCAAGCUGCAGGUGAAGUCAGUGCUAAGUGAAAUUCCUGGCUUUUCUCACCUGUGCGUCAUGAAAAAAGGCACAGGUGUAUUAGUAAAAGCAACACCACCGACCACAGGUGAGGUAAAGGGCUGAUUUAUACCCACACUCAUGCCUGCAUGGCCUCAGCAGAAGCACGUGAGGGGCAUUGGCAGCGUUUGGCCCCUCUCCAGCAGUUUAUUGGGUGCAAACAUAUUCAGCAAUAAUUCUUUGACAGUUUAUUAAGAGAAUAAUGAUAAGAAAAGCACGAAGUCAGAACUGUGUUCAAAAGAGAAAGGUUGUGUUGCCGGCUCCUAUAACAACAGGUUAGUGGAAAAAUUGCCUCUGUCUGUGGAGACUUUGUGUUUACCAGAUGUUCUGUAUUUGAAAGUCCUGCAAUUAGCCUUCAAAGAGGUAAAUUAGCCGUGAUUCGUUUCAGAGUUAAUCAUUACUGUUACAUAUUUGAAACACCACCUGGUAUUUGCAGCGUAAUUAAUGAUAUAUGACUCCUGCACAGUGGUUUUAAACAAUCUUUAGCAAUGUCUAUCAUUUGAAUUAGGAAAGAUAAUGCUAUCUGCACCCGUAAAACAAAUGCUCUGGCUGUGCUUUUCCAUCCAUUCAUAAACUCUCUCUCUUUUGGUACAUCUUUGUAACAAAUUAGCCAAGGUGAAACUGCAAAAAAUGCUUCAAGAAAUAGAAAUGUGAAACUUCAUCAGAUCUAGGCUGAGCUCAUGUUACUAUCAAUUGCAGGCAAACAAACCUCCUACAGAUAUACUGUAUCCACAGCACGUAAUUCCUAGUAAUACGAAUCAUGCAACAGCAUGGUCCAACAGCAAGUUAAUAUUUCCACAAGGCCACCCUACUCCUAGGAAAUAGGAAAUGCUCUGAAGCAGUGAUUUUUAACAGCUGUCUGCAUUAGCUGAAGCGUGCACCCGAGCCAGGUCUAAAGUCCUCCGCAACUCUCACUCUGGAGAAUUUUCUGGAAAAUAAAUAGAAUUUUGGAAUUAAAGUCUCUGUAACACUAAAAGCUCUGACAGCCUGAUCCAGAGAGAGACCUUAGAAGGAAAAAACUCCUCUUGAAUUCAUCUGUAUUUCAUGCUCAUUAUGCUCCAGUGUAUUUGGAAAGGGAAAACAUUGUGGAUUUGGAGCUUUACAUCUUCUGCAGAGCAAAAUGCCGAGGCUGAGGAGAUCGGCGCUGGACCAUCCCUACAAGGGUGCAGCUUUCCCCACGUGUUUCUGCUGGCCUUGUACCUCGGAGGCCUGGGGGUGUCAGUGACAGUGUAUUUGCUUUGGUAUUCGUGUGCUGUCCCACAUUCACUGUGAGAUCUGAAGAUGUGCUGUAUCCAUAGAGCUCUGGUGACGUCAGUGGGGUGAACGCACAGAAACCAGCCACGCUAGCAAAAUCCCUUUUGUGCUGCUGUCAUCGCCUGGGAACAAAAGCUCGAGCAGAAAAACCCUAAAUUGUUGAUAGCAUUACCGCAGCUAACAACUAAACAAACACAUCUUGCAGCUUCUCAAAAAGUCACCUGCUGAGCAGUAUAGAAGCACAGGGUGGCUCCAAGUUAUGUGCCCAGCAGGGAAGUUACCCCACGGGUAACUGUGCUGGUGUGGUGCCCAGGUCACGGGUACUUUGGGGAUAAAUACCUAGCUAGGCUUGCCCAUGAAAGUGAAUCUGAGAGGGGUGCAAGGAGAGCAGGGAUUACUGGUCAUCCUCAGAGAGGGCUGAGAUUUACUGGUGGGGUCCCACAAGCCAGAGGGAAGCACAGAUAUGCCUCGUCUUCUGUUGGGACUGACUGCAAAUUUUCUUGAAGCUUUAACCCCUGUACUAGCCUGUCAGAUGGACGCAAAUAUGAAGGCAGCACGUGACAGCAGGGGCAUGGGCCACCUCACUCCAGGUAGGGGUUUUCCAACAGCAGUUGUACCUCUGGAGCUCUGUGUCUCACCCCACGUUGUGGUGAGCUCCACGUCUGCAGCUCAGCGAAAAUGCUGUUGUCACAGGAGUUUCCUUCACACCAAAGUGAACUCCAUACGAAUUUUGGGAGCUCUCCCUUCCAGAUGGGUGUGUGAGCUUGAUUUCUAGACACUGUGCAGCUGAUGGGUAGAAACUGGCACAAGUAGGAGGGUGACUCACUGCUCUCUGGGCACAUGGGCCUGGGAUGAGCCGAUCGCUGUUUUUUACUGAUGGCAU
Long non-coding RNA from Anas platyrhynchos (mallard), 3667 nucleotides. RefSeq lists it as uncharacterized. The record is from RefSeq and is a predicted model, not a curated record. NCBI's taxonomy places the organism in Eukaryota, Metazoa, Chordata, Aves, Anseriformes, Anatidae.